This 377-nucleotide ribosomal RNA is filed under the name uncultured bacterium. RNAcentral describes it as "bacterial SSU rRNA". It matches the Rfam family "Bacterial small subunit ribosomal RNA", at positions 523 to 898 of the family's 1533-position model. The record is from RNAcentral.
AUACGUAGGGGGCAAGCGUUGUCCGGAAUUAUUGGGCGUAAAGGGUGCGUAGGCGGCCUUUUAAGUCAGAUGUGAAAGCCCACGGCUUAACCGUGGGACUGCAUUUGAAACUGGAGGGCUUGAGUAUCGGAGAGGGUAGUGGAAUUCCCAGUGUAGCGGUGGAAUGCGUAGAUAUUGGGAGGAACACCAGUGGCGAAGGCGACUACCUGGACGAAAACUGACGCUGAGGCACGAAAGCUAGGGGAGCAAACAGGAUUAGAUACCCUGGUAGUCCUAGCCGUAAACGAUGGGUACUAGGCGUAGGAGGUUUCGAUACCUUCUGUGCCGCAGUUAACGCAAUAAGUACCCCGCCUGGGGAGUACGUGCGCAAGCAUGAA